UGGUGGCGAUAGCGAGACGGCCACACCCGUUCCCAUGCCGAACACGGAAGUUAAGCGUCUCAGCGCCGAAAGUAG
This 75-nucleotide ribosomal RNA is filed under the name Exiguobacterium sp. 8A. Lineage: Bacteria; Bacillati; Bacillota; Bacilli; Caryophanales. RNAcentral also lists the same sequence under 1 other name. The record is from RNAcentral.